AAGAAAGUUAUGAAAGCUUAGUUUAGUUAAUUAGCAUCAAGGAGACAGAUCGAAGAGGAAGACAAAAUGAUCGAGAGAAUUAAAUAAUUGCUUUGCUUUGCUUUCACUUUGUAAAUUUUACGUAUAUAUUUGGUUAAUUCUCUCUGUUGGAGUAUUAAUUAUAACGCGAAAGGAUUGACACAUGCAUGAAUGGUACCGUACGUGGAGGUAUAUAUAUUUAAUUAUAUGUUUUUGAUUGAUUGAUUUUUUCUCCCGUUAACUCCUCACUAGAUCUCUCCCUCAAUGUAAUUUCUUUUUAGGAUUUUUGCCACCAAAGAGGCUUUGUUAUGAGUAUUGAUGCCACACUCACUUUGUUAAUUAAUUUAGCGCCAGAUUGAUGAAUUUAAUUUAAUUGAAUGCAGAUUUCUUCUUCUUUUCUCUCUCUUAUACAUGUAUUGAUGCCAAAUAUAUAAUUCUUUCUUUAUUUACAACACUAAUUAUAAAAGGAUGAACAAAAUAUAUUUUUCACAUAUAUUAAGAAUAUAGUAGAGUAGAGAAAGAGUAAAAAAAAUUCAAAUUUAUCUUUAGAAAGCCCACAAAAAUAUAGAUUUUUUUAGGGUCCUUAACACUAAUCUACAACAAUUAGAAAGUAAUUACAAAAAUAAAACACACACAACAUAAUUACAAAAAUAAAACAAACACAAUAUUACGUUGCUAAAAUCACGUGUCAUUAACUCCUAUACGUCAGUUACCAACUUUGCUAUUUGCAACUAACCGCUCCUAAAUUGAAGCAAUUGAAAAAACAUACAAUUUUCAUAUCGGAGAAAUCCAAAUCUUAUGUCGCGACACAACUCUGAGAUCGGAGAAGACGAAACCUUUUGCAGCGGCGCAACUCUGAGAUCGGAGAAUAGCAUACAAAAUCAACAGCAACUUCAAGUUCAGUAACAAAAAACAAUCGUACUGCAGUGAUUGUUGAAUACAAGAUCACAACAACUUCGAUACAAAUCUGAAUACGGAGGAGGUAUGUGAGUUUAAAAUUCGUAUGCAUGUAGUUACCUAUGGUUACUACGAAUUCCUAUAUUGAUUAUCUUUCUUAAGUUUUUCACACUUAAAAUGGUCACAAAUUAAGAAUACUGAAUGUUUUGAAUGGUCAUUAAUAUGUUUUAUAUUAUGGUUACUAAAUAGAUAUAAAUUGGUUGCUGUUUAUUAUGUAUUUAGUUGCUGAAUAAUGUUUAUUUGAUUGCUUUAUAAUUUUUAUAUGAGUUCUACUGAUUUUUUUUAUAUUAAUGGUUACUCAUCAAAUACAUUGGUUACAUUCCUGCAACUGUCGGUUACUGUGUAAUGUUGUCUUGGUUAUUGUGUAACAUUAUAUUGUCUAAUGCUGUAUUGAUUACUGUCUAAUGAUAUCUUGGUUACUUUGUAACAUUAAAUUGGUUACUGACUAAUGCUGACUUAGUUACUAUGUAACAUUAUAAUGGUUACUGACUAUUACUUAGUUAGUUGCUGUGUAAAAUUAUAAUGGUUAGUGCAUAAUAUUACUUACUAAUGCUGACUUGGUUAUUGAAAAAUGAUGACUUGGUUAUUGACUAAUGCUGACUUGGUUACUGUUUAACAUUAUAUUGGUUACUGACUAAUGCUGACAUGGUUACUAUGUAAAAUUAUAAUGGUUACUCAUUAGUGCUGACCUGGUUACUGAUAUUAAUCUAAUUAACUUAUACUUAUGUGUUUUAUAUUAAUGGUUACUUGUUAGCUACAUUGGUUACAUUCUUACAACAUUUAGCCUUUAGUUGGUAACAAUCAAGUUAUACUGGUUGGUUUUUACUAUAAAAAUGCAAUGGAGAAUGUGUUUAUCUUGUGGCUACUAAAUAAAUAUGUGUUGGUUACUGUUUAAAUUGGAUUUGGUUACUGUAUAAUGUUGUUAUGAUUAUUACUAUAUAAUAUUACGGUGUUUUAUAUUGGUUUGUUUUAUUAUGAUGGUUACUUAUUGGCUACAUUUGUUACCUUCAUACAACUGUUAUAGUUUAAUUGGUAAUAAAUAUCAAUAUAAUAUACUGAUUAUUUCCAUUGUAAGAUGAAUGUACAAAUAUAUUUUAUGUACUGGUUACUAAUAUCAUGUAGUUUGGUUACUGGCUAACAUUGAUUUGGUUACUUUACAGUACUUAUUCUGUUGUCAGACAAUGGAAUUGAUUCCUGUUGUACUUUAUUUCAACGGUACAUGGACUGAUAGUAACCAAUACACCAAAUUUGAAGUUACCGGCGUACUAGUUCCAUCAACUUGUUCGUUCAGAGAAAUGCAAAACAUGAUAUGCAUUGUUCUAUCAAGUUCGGAGUGUCGGAUUUUGGCGUUUUUAGAGCCUAAUUCAUUGGAAAUGGGUCA
This 2356-nucleotide long non-coding RNA is filed under the name Panax ginseng (ginseng). RNAcentral describes it as "long non-coding RNA (PGIN_LNC005058)". The record is from RNAcentral. Lineage: Eukaryota; Viridiplantae; Streptophyta; Magnoliopsida; Apiales; Araliaceae.